RNAcentral lists this ribosomal RNA (324 nucleotides) under Clostridioides difficile. RNAcentral describes it as "partial 23S ribosomal RNA". It matches the Rfam family "Bacterial large subunit ribosomal RNA", at positions 1918 to 2240 of the family's 2925-position model. Lineage: Bacteria; Bacillati; Bacillota; Clostridia; Peptostreptococcales; Peptostreptococcaceae. The record is from RNAcentral.
CCCCAGUAAACGGCGGCCGUAACUAUAACGGUCCUAAGGUAGCGAAAUUCCUUGUCGGGUAAGUUCCGACCCGCACGAAAGGCGUAACGAUUUGGGCACUGUCUCAACAACAGACUCGGUGAAAUUGUAAUUCCGGUGAAGAUGCCGGAUACCUGCGACAGGACGGAAAGACCCCAUGGAGCUUUACUGUAGCUUGACAUUGGGUCUUGGUACUACAUGUACAGGAUAGGUGGGAGGCUUUGAAACCAGGACGCCAGUUUUGGCGGAGCCAUCCUUGGGAUACCACCCUUGUAGUACUGGGACUCUAACCAUAGGCCAUGAAUC